RNAcentral lists this ribosomal RNA (417 nucleotides) under uncultured bacterium. Its description in RNAcentral is "bacterial SSU rRNA". It matches the Rfam family "Archaeal small subunit ribosomal RNA", at positions 455 to 871 of the family's 1478-position model. The record is from RNAcentral.
GAGAAAGAAGAAGAGGUAAAACCGGCAGCUCGAGUGGUAGCCGCGUUUAUUGGGCCUAAAGCGUCCGUAGCCGGUCCGAUAAGUCUCUGGUGAAAGCCCACAGCUUAACUGUGGGAAUCGCUGGAGAUACUAUCGGACUUGAGGCCGGGAGAGGCUGGAGGUACUCCCAGGGUAGGGGUGAAAUCCUAUAAUCCUGGGAGGACCACCUGUGGCGAAGGCGUCCAGCUGGAACGGACCUGACGGUGAGGGACGAAAGCCAGGGGCGCGAACCGGAUUAGAUACCCGGGUAGUCCUGGCCGUAAACGAUGCGGACUUGGUGUUGGGACGGCUUUGAGCUGUCCCAGUGCCGAAGGGAAGCUGUUAAGUCCGCCGCCUGGGAAGUACGGCCGCAAUGUUGAAACUUAAAGAAAUUGGCGG